GUGCUCACUUCAGCAGCACACAUACUAAAAUUGGAACAAUACAGAGAAGAUUAUCAUCGCUCCUGCACAAGGAUGACAUGCAAAUUCCUGAAGCAUUCCAUAUUUUU
Molecule: small nuclear RNA, 107 nt
Organism: Otolemur garnettii (small-eared galago)
Lineage: Eukaryota; Metazoa; Chordata; Mammalia; Primates; Galagidae
Source: Ensembl